This is a long non-coding RNA of Bombyx mori (domestic silkworm), 577 nucleotides long. RefSeq lists it as uncharacterized. NCBI's taxonomy places the organism in Eukaryota, Metazoa, Arthropoda, Insecta, Lepidoptera, Bombycidae. The record is from RefSeq and is a predicted model, not a curated record. The transcript is spliced from 2 exons.
UGUGUGAAAUGAACUGUAUUUUUUCAGGUUUUUUUUUUAAUUUAGCCGCGGGAUGCUUCAAACAACUACAACAUUGGAGAAAUUCAGAGCUUGGAUUGGAAUGUGGAAAUAAUAAAUCUUGUCGAACAAUUUUCAUAAAAUAAAUCUUAAUCGAAAGAAACCUUAACACUGUUUCGGUCCUUUGUGUGCAUAAAACAGGUUGUGAAAGAUAUUACUGAUCGACAGGAAAACUAUUACUCUUCCAAAUCCAAUCCAAAACACUUCUGAGAACACCACCCCAAGUCUUUGGCUAGGCUUCGAGUCGUCGUUAGCAACACUCAACAGUGGAAACAUCGUUUACGUUAAAUGUUACAUCGGCUUACUGACAUCGAGUUUAACCCAAAUUCAUUGAAUCCUGUGGGCAGAUAAGCUGUUGCUUUAAUUAAAUUCUCUAUAUUAGAUAAAUUAUAUGAGUUCAUUGUAUUUUGACAGAUACUUUCGUAUUUACCGAUUGACUUAUGUUAUAGUCCUAUUUUGUUUUAAGUAGGAAUUAGUUUUUGUUGUUUGUGUUAUCAAUAAAUGUACUACGAAAAUAUUG